AUGGACAUGAUAUACGUCCCAGUUUUUAUCCUCCUGUUCUUGAUUUGCUUCUGCAAAUCUGAUGAUCGCCUAACACCCACAAAACCACUCUACCCCGGCGACACGCUCAUCUCAGACGGUGGCAUCUUUGCUCUUGGCUUCUUCUCCCUGAAGAACUCGAGUGCAAACUCGUACGUCGGCAUAUGGUACAACCAAAUCCCGGAGCGAACAUACGUGUGGGUCGCAAACCGCGACAGCCCAAUCACUAGCAGUUCCUCUGGUAAGUUUGUUGUGACCAACAAUUCUGAUCUUGUCUUGUUAGACUCCAAAGGAAGCACUCUUUGGACAACCUCGAACAACAUCACCUCCGAAGCCGCCGGAACUGCUGCUACACUGCUUGACACCGGGAACUUGGUCAUCCGGUUGUCCAACGGCACAGACAUAUGGCAGAGCUUUCAUUACCCAACUGACACCCUUCUCCCUAACAUGUCUGCACCGUUGAGCAGCAAAAAUAAGCUCUACAGGCCUUUUGUUGCUUGGAGGGGCCCUGAUGACCUGUCCACUGGCGACUACUCCUUGGGCAGUGACUCCAGCUUGGUUCCCCAGGUCUUCAUCUGGAAUGGGACGAGGCCGUACUGGCGCAGAGCUGCGUGGACUGGUGCACUGGUGAACAACGUGUAUCAGAGCAACACUGGCUCCUUCAUGUUCGAAACAGUUGAAAGAAGAGGGGCUGAGUUCUACAUAACAUACACCGUCUCCAAUGGCUCACCAAAUAUGCGCGCGAAGCUGCACUAUACGGGCACGGUGAAGGUCCUUACAUGGAACAGCAAGUCGUCGUCUUGGGAUGUUUUCAUGGAGUACCCCAGUCAUAGCUGUGAUAGCUAUGCUUCGUGCGGCCCAUUCGGCUACUGUGAUGGCACAGAGGCGAUUCCAACGUGCAAGUGCCUUGAUGGUUUUGAGUCUGCUGGCCGUAACUAUUCCCUAGGAUGUCGGAGAAAGAAAGAGUUGAAAUGUGAUGAUACAGAUAGUUUCAUAACUUUGCCUGGCAUGAAAACGCCUGACAAGUUCCUGUACAUCAGGAAUAGAAGCUUCGACCAAUGCGCAGAAGAAUGCAGAAGCAAGUGCUCAUGCAACGCUUACGCGUACGCCAACCUAAGCAGUCUUGGCAGUCUUGACAUGGUUGGAGACAGUUCGAGGUGCUUGGUUUGGAUGGGGGAGCUUGUUGACACAGGGAAGCCUGCUGGUGGUGUUAGUGAAAAUCUUUACCUCCGUAUUUCCAGCUCAUCCGCUAACGAAAAAAAGAUCCUUAUACUGAAGAUUGUACUCCCGGCUGUGGCUUGUCUGUUGGUACUCACAUGCAUAUACCUUGGAUGCAAGUCACAAGGUAAACGCAGAAGGAAAGGUCAGAACACACAUAUGCUAAAGCACUUGAAUGCUUACAAACUUGGGAACGAAGAUACGGAACUUCCAUCUGUAGGCUUUGAAGAAAUUCUCACUGCAACAAACAACUUUUCUGCUUGCAACAUGCUUGGAAAAGGUGGUUUUGGAAAAGUGUACAAAGGAAUAUUGGAAGAUGGCAUGGAAGUUGCUGUCAAAAGGCUUAGUAUGGGUUCUGGGCAAGGGAUUGAGGAGUUCAGGAAUGAAGUAGUUCUGAUUGCCAAAUUGCAGCACCGAAACUUAGUUAGGCUUCUUGGUUACUGCAUUCAUGAAGAUGAGAAGUUACUCAUUUACGAAUACUUACCUAACAGGAGUUUGGAUGCCUUCCUUUUUGAUGCUACAAAAAAAAUUAUGCUUGAUUGGCUGAGCCGGUUCAUGGUCAUUAAAGGGAUAGCGAGAGGGCUUCUUUAUCUCCACCAAGAUUCAAGAUUAACAAUAAUUCAUCGAGAUCUCAAAGCAAGCAACAUCUUGUUGGAUGCACAAAUGAGUCCUAAAAUAUCUGAUUUUGGUAUGGCAAGGAUCUUUGGAGGAAACGAGCAACAAGCAAACACUAACCGGGUUGUUGGGACAUAUGGUUACAUGUCUCCUGAAUAUGGGAUGGAAGGCUACUUUUCUGUCAAGUCUGACACCUACAGCUUUGGGGUUCUGCUGUUGGAGAUUGUAAGCGGGUUAAGGAUUAGCUCACCCCAUCUCACCAUGGGCUUUCCAAACCUUAUAGCAUACGCAUGGAGCUUAUGGGUUGAUGGAAAUGCAAGGGAAUUGGUGGACCGGUCUGUUUUGGAGAGUUGUCCACUUGAUGAAGUUCUACGAUGUGUUCACAUAGGGCUCCUGUGUGUUCAAGACCAUCCAAAUGCUAGGCCACCCAUGUCAUCCAUUGUGUUCAUGUUAGAGAAUGAAACAGCUCUGCUUCCUGCCCCCGAGAAACCUACAUAUUUCACAAUACGGAGCCAUGAAGCUGAAGACUGGAGAAAAUAUAUGGGAAGAUCUGAGAAUAACAUGAGCAUCACGACACUGGAGGGACGUUAA
RNAcentral lists this ribosomal RNA (2442 nucleotides) under Triticum aestivum (bread wheat). RNAcentral describes it as "partial small subunit ribosomal RNA". Lineage: Eukaryota; Viridiplantae; Streptophyta; Magnoliopsida; Poales; Poaceae. The record is from RNAcentral.